This 215-nucleotide long non-coding RNA is filed under the name Elaeis guineensis (African oil palm). RNAcentral's name for it is "long non-coding RNA (EGUI_LNC070518)". The record is from RNAcentral. Lineage: Eukaryota; Viridiplantae; Streptophyta; Magnoliopsida; Arecales; Arecaceae.
GUAAAAAGGUGGGCAAUGUUAAAAAAAAAAAUAGUGGAUAAUAAGGGGAUUAAAUUACAAGAAGAUAAUAAACCUCUCUCACAUUAAGUUAGAGGAUUUAAAGAGUAAAGUGGGGAGUUGGUGAAAGAAAAGCUCUUGAAAUUUCUUUAGUUAAUACUCAGCCACUAAUUGGGUCAAAUUGAUAAUCCAAUGAAAUAUCUCUUUAAUGGUCUGAC